Molecule: ribosomal RNA, 490 nt
Filed under: uncultured bacterium
Lineage: Bacteria
Description: partial 16S ribosomal RNA
Rfam family: Bacterial small subunit ribosomal RNA
Source: RNAcentral
AUUGAACGCUGGCGGCAGGCCUAACACAUGCAAGUCGAACGGUAACAGGAAGACGCUUGCUUCUUUGCUGACGAGUGGCGGACGGGUGAGUCAUGUCUGGGAAACUGCCUGAUGGAGGGGGAUAACUACUGGAAACGGUAGCUACUACCGCAUAACGUCGCAAGCCCAAAGAGGGGGACCUUCGGGCCUCUUGCCAUCGGAUGUGCCCAGAUGGGAUUAGCUAGUAGGUGGGGUAACGGCUCACCUAGGCGACGAUCCCUAGCUGGUCUGAGAGGAUGACAAGCCACACUGGAACUGAGACACGGUCCAGACUCCUACGGGAGGCAGCAGUGGGGAAUAUUGCACAAUGGGCGCAAGCCUGAUGCAGCCAUGCCGCGUGUAUGAAGAAGGCCUUCGGGUUGUAAAGUACUUUCAGCGGGGAGGAAGGGAGUAAAGUUAAUACCUUUGCUCAUUGACGUUACCCGCAGAAGAAGCACCGGCUAACUCCGUG